CCAGACAACAUUCAGCAAGGACCUGAAGUCUGCCAACAGUUACAUGAGUGAGCCCGGAAGUGGAUCCUUCCCUAGUUGAGCCUUGAGAUGACCACAGCCCAGGAAAAGAAAGAAAUAAAAGCGAGACAAUUUCUGCAUCACUCCCUAGAACCACGGAAAUGAUUUUAAUUACCAAUUCAUCUGUUGGCAGACUCUUCUGGCAGAUGUACCUGCAACUUGGAAAGAUAACAAAUGAACCAAUUCCUUACUCCAGAGUUGACACUGAUAGUGCUUACUGAAUUUGCUCUCAGAAAAGAAUCCUGGGCAACAAUACAUCUGGCACUCUGCUCGAGGAAUUUGUCAUGUCAUUGACAUGUUCAGCCUCCAUUGUCCACACCACCCCGACAGCAGGUCCUUUAUAUUUCAAAGAAAUUGCAGCCUGAAUUAAUAUAAUUAGAAUGUAACUGCUAUUCACUGCAGAAACUCCUUAUUUCCAGGAGUGAAGAUCUGAUAGCAUGUCUGUACUUAAAAUCUUUCCCAUGAUGGUUGGAGGGGAGCAAGCAGAUAAUAAAAUGACAGAAUAUAUGCUAUUUCACAGACUUUUUGAAGUAUUAGCUAAUGGAAAUAUAGGGGGAGAAGAAAACUGUUCUACCCUUGGCAUGUAUAAAUAGAAACAUCUUUUAAGUUUACUUGCCUUUAUAGUACUUCCAUAAAAUAUGUUCUAAAGAGUAUCUAAACUCAGAGAAAUAAAUUAAAUCAGAAAGAUUACAUAUCUCCAAAAAGUAUGCAAUGAAGCAUGAAGUAGAGUGGCUAAUUCAUAGACAGAAUUACAGAUUUCAGAGAUGGUUGAAUAACUUCAGUCAUUUUUCCCUGCUUCCCUUUGAACAGUUGAUGUCACCAACUAAGCAACUGUCACCAAGUUAAUAACUUGGAUGCUGGAUUUUUGAAUUUUAUUCUUUGUUAGCAUUCUGUUUCUACAAAUACUUGAUUAUUGAUAUAGUGGAAACUGACAUUGGCAUCUUUCUUUUGAAAAUAAGAUUGAUUCACAUUCUUUCAAAUAAGUUAACAUUCUCACUGGGAAUGAUUCAUUUGAGGGAGAACAAUGGCCUGGCAUAUCAAUGUAUAGGCUGGUGCUUAUGGCCUCUUCUCUGAAGAAUAUAAUGUUUAUCCUUGUACAUGUUAUAGACUGUAUCCUUCUGAAAUGUAUAUGUUGAAGCCCUAAUUCCCAGGGUAAUGGUAUUUGGAUAUGCAGCCUUUAGGUAAUUAGAUUUAGGAGUCUUGAGGGUGGAGCUCUCAUGAUGGAAUUAGUGUCCUUGUAAGAAGAGGAAACAAAGAUCAGAGUGCUUGCUCUCUCUUUCUCUUUCUCUCUCUCUCUCUCUCUCUCUCUCCCCCCCUCCCCUCUGAGCCCUGCCUCCAGACCUCCGACUAUGUGAAGAUACAGUGGGAAGAUGACUGUCCACAAGACAGGAAGAGAGCCCUCACUGAGAAACCAAAUUGGCCAGUAUCUUGAUCUUGGAUUUCUCAGCCUCAAGAACCCUGAGGAAUAAAUGUCUGUUGUUCAAGCCA
RNAcentral lists this long non-coding RNA (1545 nucleotides) under Macaca fascicularis (crab-eating macaque). RNAcentral's name for it is "lncRNA (ENSMFAG00000057216.1)". The record is from RNAcentral. Lineage: Eukaryota; Metazoa; Chordata; Mammalia; Primates; Cercopithecidae.